CCUCGGCAAAGAAAAGCAUGAUGUCGGCGAAGUUCUCGACCUUGUCCCUCCCUGGAUAGCGUAGCGCUUCUUCCUCAGGUUGGUCUUCAGCUCCGCACCGAACUUAUCUGGGACGCCACAGCGCGGCUUUUUCAUCGCCCUGGAAACCACAUCGCCACGAAACCCUGGGUGCCAGAACUUUUGGAACUCUUACGGUCAGGCCGGUUUUCUGGCUCUCCGGCGCUAACGGACACUAGGCGCGAGGGCC
Sardina pilchardus (European sardine) is the source of this 247-nucleotide long non-coding RNA. RefSeq lists it as uncharacterized. The record is from RefSeq and is a predicted model, not a curated record. The transcript has 3 exons. NCBI's taxonomy places the organism in Eukaryota, Metazoa, Chordata, Actinopteri, Clupeiformes, Clupeidae.